This 627-nucleotide ribosomal RNA is filed under the name uncultured Anaerofilum sp. RNAcentral's name for it is "bacterial SSU rRNA". It matches the Rfam family "Bacterial small subunit ribosomal RNA", at positions 897 to 1533 of the family's 1533-position model. The record is from RNAcentral. Lineage: Bacteria; Bacillati; Bacillota; Clostridia; Eubacteriales; Oscillospiraceae.
AAACUCAAAUGAAUUGACGGGGGCCCGCACAAGCAGUGGAGUAUGUGGUUUAAUUCGAAGCAACGCGAAAAACCUUACCAGGUCUUGACAUCCAACGACCGCCUAAGAGAUUAGGCUUUCCUUCGGGACGUUGAGACAGGUGGUGCAUGGUUGUCGUCAGCUCGUGUCGUGAGAUGUUGGGUUAAGUCCCGCAACGAGCGCAACCCUUAUUACUAGUUACUACGCAAGAGGACUCUAGUGAGACUGCCGUUGACAAAACGGAGGAAGGUGGGGAUGACGUCAAAUCAUCAUGCCCUUUAUGACCUGGGCUACACACGUACUACAAUGGCUAUUAACAGAGAGAAGCGAGACCGCAAGGUGGAGCAAACCUCAGAAAAUAGUCUCAGUUCGGAUUGGGGCUGCAACCCGCCCCCAUGAAGCCGGAAUUGCUAGUAAUCGCGGAUCAGCAUGCCGCGGUGAAUACGUUCCCGGGCCUUGUACACACCGCCCGUCACACCAUGAGAGCCGGGGGGACCCGAAGUCGGUAGUCUAACCGCAAGGAAGACGCCGCCGAAGGUAAAACUGGUGAUUGGGGUGAAGUCGUAACAAGGUAGCCGUAUCGGAAGGUGCGGCUGGAUCACCUCCUUU